ACAUUCCGAAAGGAUAUGCUAAUACCGCAUACGACCUACGGGGGAAAGCAGGGGAUCUUCGGACCUUGCGCUAAUAGAUGAGCCUAAGUCAGAUUAGCUAGUUGGUGGGGUAGGGGCCUACCAAGGCGACGAUCUGUAGCGGGUCUGAGAGGAUGAUCCGCCACACUGGGACUGAGACACGGCCCAGACUCCUACGGGAGGCAGCAGUGGGGAAUAUUGGACAAUGGGCGCAAGCCUGAUCCAGCCAUGCCGCGUGUGUGAAGAAGGCCUUCUGGUUGUAAAGCACUUUAAGCGAGGAGGAGGCUACUUGGAUUAAUACUCUAUGAUAGUGGACGUAACUCGCAGAAAUAAGCACCGGUUAACUCUGUGCCAGCAGCCGCGGUAUUACAGAGGGUGCGAGCGUNAAUCGGAUUUACUGGGCGUAAAGCGUGCGUAGGCGGCUU
Molecule: ribosomal RNA, 443 nt
Filed under: uncultured Pseudomonadota bacterium
Lineage: Bacteria; Pseudomonadati; Pseudomonadota
Description: bacterial SSU rRNA
Rfam family: Bacterial small subunit ribosomal RNA
Source: RNAcentral